AUAAGAUUUUAGCAAUUUUUCAUCUUUAAUAUUCUCUAGAGCACUUUAAAAUUUGAUUUCAUCAAGCUGAUCUUUCAACAGAUUUAAGCUUUCUGUUACUAUUUAGAUUUUAGUUCCCACAAGAAAGGAAGGGUUGCAGACCCUAUAUAACACUCCUCAUCCUUCAACAAACUUCAAGCCUUGUACUCAUAUUUUUCCUCCUGCUCUCAUAGAAACCCAUAAACAUGAAAAAGAGUUAUCUUGCAUGGAUUCUCAUCCUGUUAUAUGCUCAAAUACUCCUACCAAGCUUGGUUCAAGCAAAUCCCCAGAAAUUGGAGCAAGAAAAUCACCGUGAGAAAUAAAUUAAUCAUUGACCGUCUGUUUUAUAUUGAGAUUCGGUUCCAUUUAAAAUUUAAAUUCAGUUUAAUGUUUGAUAUGCAGGCACAAGCAGAAAAGUGGAUUAUGAUGCAAAUGCUCAUGAUAAAGCAUUUGUAGCAGAAAAUGAAACAAUUUGGACAAAAAAGGAACGGUCGGGGAGAGGACCUAAUGGUGGUCCAUAUGUGAAUCAACAUCGACCCAAAAAAAAUGCAGCAGCACUGUUAUAUACACCUUCGUUGGUCAUUUUUAUGAUGUUUUUUUCUCCUACCGUCGCCUUUGCCUAGAUGUUUUGUGUGAGCUUAGAACUUUAUCUCUUUCAGCUCAUUUUGGUGUUGGGUUUCCAUAAUUUUCUCGAUUUGAUCAUGGCUGUAAUUACACUGACGUGUUCUGUUUGAUUUUAUUAAUGUUCAAGACGUACUUAAUAUCAAUUAUACUUUCUUCAGAUUUAUGUUGUAUUACACUGUAGAUUACCAAAAAUUCCUUAUAAAGAAUCAUAUCAU
RNAcentral lists this long non-coding RNA (857 nucleotides) under Olea europaea subsp. europaea. Lineage: Eukaryota; Viridiplantae; Streptophyta; Magnoliopsida; Lamiales; Oleaceae. The record is from RNAcentral.